GUCCCAUGAUGAGGACAAUUACGAAUUAACUCUUUGAAUUGCUCCUACGCCUUAUACAAAGACUCAUCAUCCAUGUUGGAAAGUUGUGAUCUCGUUCCUUAACUU
Small nucleolar RNA from Gossypium arboreum, 105 nucleotides. It matches the Rfam family "Plant small nucleolar RNA R71". From Rfam's summary of the family: R71 is a member of the C/D box family of snoRNAs containing the C (UGAUGA) and D (CUGA) box motifs. NCBI's taxonomy places the organism in Eukaryota, Viridiplantae, Streptophyta, Magnoliopsida, Malvales, Malvaceae. The record is from Rfam.